GUUGUAACGAAGUGCCGCACACUGGCUGGCCUAGAACAACAGGAGCGUGUUCCCUGCUAGGUCUGUUGUAACGAAGUACCGCACACUGGCUGGCCUAGAACAACAGGAGAGUGUAUUCCCUGCUAGGUCUGUUGUAACGAAGUGCCGCACACUGGCUGGCUUAGAACAACAGGAGUGUAUUCCCUGACAGUUGUGGGAGCUGCACAUUCGAGAUCAGGAUGUCCUCAGGGUUGGUGCCUUCCGAGGGCUGUGAGGGAGAAGUGGCUUCGUGCCUUUGCUGGCAGUUGCCGUUCCUUGGUGUGUGGAAGCGUCACGCACUCUCUGCCUUCAUCCCCACGUGGCAGUCUUGCUGUGGCGUGUCUGUCCCCAAGCCUCCCUUUGUUUAGGGACACCAGUCAUAUCGGAAUAGAGCCCAUCCCACCAACUCCAUUAUAACGUCUUCUGUGUCCGCAGCAGCUGUUUACCAAUAAGGUCACAUUCUGAGGUACUAGAGGUUGGGACUUCAACAUUGGAAUUUGAAAGGGACAGCAUUCAGCCCGUGACUCCGGAUAAACGUGAGGUAUGCUAUCAUUCCUGAUUCACAGAUGAGUCAAUACAAACUUGAGUGAGCUUGCUCACUGUUCGAAGGCAGUGUUCAGACCCAAGUUUGGCAUUCAGGGCAGGUGUCCUCUGCAUGGAAGAAUCUUACUCAGUAGCCUUAAGGCUGACAAAUUCCCCUCCUCCCUGCCUUCUGAUGGGGGCUGGGCAGGCCAGCUGGAGCUGUGUCUCCUGCUGGGAUUCUGGACUGAGUGACAGUGGGUAGUGAAACCUCAAGCAAUUUAAAACGUGGUAUUGUUCCUGGAAGACUGGUUAUGUUGGCUAGGGUCAGCAAGAGAGGGCAUCAAGGCUGUAGUCUAGCAGUGACUUAAUCUGCAAGUCACACCAGACGGGUAUUUUGUAUUAUUCAUAUGUCAGAUCCUACCAACAGGCAGUGAGCCAGGCAGAGCUCCUGGUGCUCCUUGUCACUCACAUAAUUUUCACAUCAAGAAAACUCUGGGCCGGGCGCAGUGGCUCACACCUGUAAUCCCAACACUUUGGGAAGCCAAGGUGGGUGGAUCGCCUAGCUCAGUGACAGCAGCCUGGGCCACAUGGCAAAACCCCAUCUCUACCAAAAAUACAAAAAAUUAGCUGGGUGUGAUGGUGCAUGUUUGCAGCCCCAGCUACUCUGGAGGCUGAGGUGGGAGGAUUGCUUGAGUCUGGGAGGCAGAGGUUGCAGUAAGCCAAGAUUGCGCCACUGCACAAGCUGGAUGACAGAAUGAGACCCUGUCUCAAAAAUAAUUUAAAAGCCUCUGCCCCAAACUCGUUAAAAGAUUUUAUAACCACAACUACUGUUUCUGUGUAGAUGCCUCUGCGUGCCCAGGAGCAGUAAAUGCAAUAAAAUCAUUUGGUUAUACUUUGAA
This 1439-nucleotide long non-coding RNA is filed under the name Macaca fascicularis (crab-eating macaque). Its description in RNAcentral is "lncRNA (ENSMFAG00000052473.1)". The record is from RNAcentral. Lineage: Eukaryota; Metazoa; Chordata; Mammalia; Primates; Cercopithecidae.